Molecule: unclassified non-coding RNA, 249 nt
Filed under: Hevea brasiliensis (rubber tree)
Lineage: Eukaryota; Viridiplantae; Streptophyta; Magnoliopsida; Malpighiales; Euphorbiaceae
Source: RNAcentral
GGUUCUGAAUCAGGUGCUGGUUCUGGUUCUGGGUCUCUCUUUGGAGCAAAAAGCGAUCAGUCAAUUUUCGGUGUUAGUCUUCCCACUAAUGGAAAUGCUUCUCUAUUUGGUUACUCAGGGUCAUCUAGUGUAAAAAAGAGCGAGGGAACUGGAUUUCCUUCCAUGCAAGAGGUUCCGAUUGUAACAGGGGAGGAGCAUGAAAAGGCGAUCUUUACAGCUGACUCUGUGCUGUUUGAAUAUCUUAAUGGA